AAAGAUAUAGCAUAUUCUUCUGAAUAUACUUUAUUAACCCAUCCGAGUACCUUACCCGUUGCUUCCGCGAGGCUGUCCUCACGGCCCUCUGAAGAUUUAUCUUUGGGGGAGUCCUUGCGGAAGGUAUACAAUAAACUCUUGCAUUACCACUGUCAUCUGUCUGAAUCUGUUUAAAACAAAUAUUA
RNAcentral lists this unclassified non-coding RNA (185 nucleotides) under soil metagenome. RNAcentral's name for it is "partial internal transcribed spacer 1". The record is from RNAcentral.